UGUUGUGAAACAAAUUGGCUUCAGUCUGUGUGUAGCUCUUGUCCAUGUGACUUUCCAGGGUGAACUUCAGAAGGCUAAUAAAAGGCCAACACAUCAAUUAAGCAUCAUCUCCUCCUUUAACUCUUUUUGAUAGAGGACAUUAGAAAUUCCAGAACAGGGAGUGGGGUGUUACCAGCAUCAUGGGGUGUCUCCUGGAAGCCCCUGCUAGACCCUCACUAUGGAGAGAUGAUGGAUCUCAUCACCAGCUGGGGCAAAGAGGAGACCAAGUAUCAGCUCCACAAAGGGCACUGUAAGAGGGAUACAUUCAACCACGUUGUGCAAAAGAUGCAAGUGCAGGGCCAAAGCAGAGAUCGGGUACAGUGCCAGGCCAAAGCAAAAUGGAUAAAGAUCCAGUACAAGUACAUGCAUGAUGCCAACAGAAAGUCUGGGGCCAGGAGGCAAAGCAUGCCUUCUACAAGGAGAUGCCCUGCUUCCUUGCUAUGGAUGGGGCCAUUGCCACCCCACAUAUGUACAGCGCCACCAGGGGGAAGGAGGAGUCACUGUCAGGGACACUACUGGAGGAGGAGGUGCAGGAAGGCCCUAAGAUAAUGGAUCAACUUAGUGCUCAGGAGCAGGUCCCAGGGGGCCACACAGAUAACAGUGGCCCCUGAGGAAUCCACCCCAUUAGUGCUGGUCUCCAGAUCAUCACAGGAUCUGGGAGUGGAGUUGCAGCUGGACCUGAGAUUCCGUGACAUAUUCUUGGGCAUUGUCAAGAGCACGAAGUAUACAGUGGAAGAGCAGAGGGAAAGUUACAGUGCAACAGAAAUUGAGACAGGAUUUCAAACCCAAACCCAUGCCCUCUACCUCACAGAAGCCCUCCCCUGGUCCUCACCCCAUGGACCAUGACCAAACACAGGGACCUCAGACACUGUUCCUGGAACAGCUGCUACCAGUCUUGCACUACCACUCUUUUGACACCUCCUCACUGCCCCGCUUCCAAAUGUUCAGAGUGCUCCCAAUCCCCUCUGCCUCAACUACUGGUGCAGUGACCUCUGCUGCAGUAUGACCCAAAGCACUCACACCCAGUCUUCCCCACAAUUCUGGUGAAGACCCAGGCACCAAUCAAGGACACUGAGUUACCCAGGAUAGUAUGGCUCUACCCCAGUCCACAUGGCUGUAGCAGGGAC
This is a long non-coding RNA of Alligator sinensis (Chinese alligator), 1166 nucleotides long. RefSeq lists it as uncharacterized. NCBI's taxonomy places the organism in Eukaryota, Metazoa, Chordata, Crocodylia, Alligatoridae. The record is from RefSeq and is a predicted model, not a curated record. The transcript has 4 exons.